ACUCCUACGGGAGGCAGCAGUGGGGAAUAUUGGACAAUGGGCGAAAGCCUGAUCCAGCAAUGCCGCGUGAGUGAUGAAGGCCUUAGGGUUGUAAAGCUCUUUUACCAGGGAUGAUAAUGACAGUACCUGGAGAAUAAGNGCCGGCUAACUCC
Molecule: ribosomal RNA, 152 nt
Filed under: uncultured Alphaproteobacteria bacterium
Lineage: Bacteria; Pseudomonadati; Pseudomonadota; Alphaproteobacteria
Description: partial 16S ribosomal RNA
Rfam family: Bacterial small subunit ribosomal RNA
Source: RNAcentral